Molecule: long non-coding RNA, 509 nt
Filed under: Prunus persica (peach)
Lineage: Eukaryota; Viridiplantae; Streptophyta; Magnoliopsida; Rosales; Rosaceae
Description: long non-coding RNA (PPER_LNC007794)
Source: RNAcentral
GAGCUGAAAGCAAAGGGGGUUGCCCAAUACACAAAGCUUGCAUGUCGCAAGGCAUUGUGCUUAGGCACAGGGGUGUUGAAGGCAAAAAGGGUUGCCAAAGGCACAAGGGUGAUAAAGGGAAAAAAUGCAUUAUUAUUAUUUAGGAAAGAAUAAUAAUAAUAGCUUUUCUUUUCUUUUUUUAAUUUUUUUUUUGGGGUACCUUGUGGGUGUGGCCCGAUGUUUCAGCAAGUGGGAUGGGUUGGGCCACGUGGAGCUGGGCCGCUUGAACUUGCGUGAGCCCAGGUGUGGAGAGUUGAGGCAAGUAGUGAGGGCUUGGCAGGUGGGCCAUGUACAUGACCAUUGCCGUUCGGCAAGGGGGGCCAAGACUAUGCAAGUUGGGCUUCGUUAAGAUAUUUUGGUAAAAAAGGCUGGGCCUUCGGCAAGCUUGACUUGGAACUGUGUUUUUUGUGACCCUCCCCUCAAUUCUCAUAUGGCCCUUGCCGUUCGGCAAGGGUAGGCUUGGUAAAAAU